UGAGGCGUGGCUUCCGGAGCUAACGCGUUAAGUCGACCGCCUGGGGAGUACGGCCGCAAGGUUAAAACUCAAAUGAAUUGACGGGGGCCCGCACAAGCGGUGGAGCAUGUGGUUUAAUUCGAUGCAACGCGAAGAACCUUACCUACUCUUGACAUCCAGAGAACUUUGCAGAGAUGCUUUGGUGCCUUCGGGAACUCUGAGACAGGUGCUGCAUGGCUGUCGUCAGCUCGUGUUGUGAAAUGUUGGGUUAAGUCCCGCAACGAGCGCAACCCUUAUCCUUUGUUGCCAGCGGUUAGGCCGGGAACUCAAAGGAGACUGCCAGUGAUAAACUGGAGGAAGGUGGGGAUGACGUCAAGUCAUCAUGGCCCUUACGAGUAGGGCUACACACGUGCUACAAUGGCGCAUACAAAGAGAAGCGACCUCGCGAGAGCAAGCGGACCUCAUAAAGUGCGUCGUAGUCCGGAUUGGAGUCUGCAACUCGACUCCAUGAAGUCGGAAUCGCUAGUAAUCGUGGAUCAGAAUGCCACGGUGAAUACGUUCCCGGGCCUUGUACACACCGCCCGUCACACCAUGGGAGUGGGUUGCAAAAGAAGUAGGUAGCUUAACCUUCGGGAGGGCGCUUACCACUUUGUGAUUCAUGACUGGGGUGAAGUCGUACAA
RNAcentral lists this ribosomal RNA (660 nucleotides) under Enterobacteriaceae bacterium. RNAcentral's name for it is "bacterial SSU rRNA". It matches the Rfam family "Bacterial small subunit ribosomal RNA", at positions 833 to 1494 of the family's 1533-position model. The record is from RNAcentral. Lineage: Bacteria; Pseudomonadati; Pseudomonadota; Gammaproteobacteria; Enterobacterales; Enterobacteriaceae.